CAAGAAGCCGAAAGGCUACUUAAAACCAUCGCGAACUUAUCCAAGUUGCUUCGGCGGCGCGGCUCCCCUCAACGGGGGACCGCAGCCCCCGCCUCUCAGAGGUAAGGGGCAGCCGCCGGAGGUACGAAACUCUGUAUUAUAGUGGUAUCUCUGAGUAUAAAACAAAUAAGUUA
This 173-nucleotide unclassified non-coding RNA is filed under the name soil metagenome. RNAcentral's name for it is "partial internal transcribed spacer 1". The record is from RNAcentral.